UACGGGGGGAGCAAGCGUUGUUCGGAUUUACUGGGCGUAAAGGGCGCGUAGGCGGUCAGCACAAGUCAGUUGUGAAUCUCCGGGCUUAACUCGGAAAGGUCAACUGAUACUGUGCGACUAGAGUGCAGAAGGGGCAACUGGAAUUCUCGGUGUAGCGGUGAAAUGCGUAGAUAUCGAGAGGAACACCUGCGGCGAAGGCGGGUUGCUGGGCUGACACUGACGCUGAGAGACGAAAGCUAGGGGAGCAAAUGGG
This 253-nucleotide ribosomal RNA is filed under the name uncultured bacterium. Its description in RNAcentral is "partial 16S ribosomal RNA". It matches the Rfam family "Bacterial small subunit ribosomal RNA", at positions 524 to 776 of the family's 1533-position model. The record is from RNAcentral.